RNAcentral lists this ribosomal RNA (423 nucleotides) under uncultured bacterium. RNAcentral describes it as "bacterial SSU rRNA". It matches the Rfam family "Bacterial small subunit ribosomal RNA", at positions 506 to 927 of the family's 1533-position model. The record is from RNAcentral.
GGCCAGCAGCCGCGGUAAUACGAAGGGUGCAAGCGUUACUCGGAAUUACUGGGCGUAAAGCGUGCGUAGGUGGUUCGUUAAGUCAGAUGUGAAAGCCCCGGGCUCAACCUGGGAAUUGCAUUUGAUACUGGCGGGCUAGAGUGCGGUAGAGGAGAGUGGAAUUCCCGGUGUAGCAGUGAAAUGCGUAGAGAUCGGGAGGAACAUCAGUUGCGAAGGCGGCUCUCUGGACCAGCACUGACACUGAGGCACGAAAGCGUGGGGAGCAAACAGGAUUAGAUACCCUGGUAGUCCACGCCCUAAACGAUGCGAACUGGACGUUGGGAGCAAUCAGGCUCUCAGUGUCGAAGCUAACGCGUUAAGUUCGCCGCCUGGGGAGUACGGUCGCAAGACUGAAACUCAAAGGAAUUGACGGGGGCCCGCACA